GAGGUGUUCCUCCCUCAGGGAUCUCAUCUGGUGUUUCUUGAACUCUCACAAUUUGUUUAUCAGCAAACCUGCAUCUAUUGUGAACCAGAGUCAUUGAGUUCCUUGCCAGACAUUCUUGCUUGCCGCAUAUUGUCGGCUCGCUAAUUCUUCCUCUGUCUACAACAAUUGGGUCAGAGUAAUAGCCACAAACAAGACAUCUAAAUAUUGCUUCUCUUAUCUCUGGAAUAAUUGCACUACAACGGAUAAUCAUCCCUUUGAGUGACACCAUCUUCUC
RNAcentral lists this unclassified non-coding RNA (274 nucleotides) under Hevea brasiliensis (rubber tree). Lineage: Eukaryota; Viridiplantae; Streptophyta; Magnoliopsida; Malpighiales; Euphorbiaceae. The record is from RNAcentral.